RNAcentral lists this transfer RNA (72 nucleotides) under Ovis aries (sheep). It matches the Rfam family "tRNA". From Rfam's summary of the family: Transfer RNA (tRNA) molecules are approximately 80 nucleotides in length. Lineage: Eukaryota; Metazoa; Chordata; Mammalia; Artiodactyla; Bovidae. The record is from Rfam by way of RNAcentral.
UCCCUGGUGGCUCAGAGGGUAAAGCAUCUGCCUGCAAUGCGGGAGACCCAGGUUUGAUCCCUGGGUCGGGAA